RNAcentral lists this ribosomal RNA (466 nucleotides) under uncultured bacterium. RNAcentral's name for it is "partial 16S ribosomal RNA". It matches the Rfam family "Bacterial small subunit ribosomal RNA", at positions 28 to 507 of the family's 1533-position model. The record is from RNAcentral.
GAUGAACGCUGGCGGCGUGCUUAACACAUGCAAGUCGAACGGAAAGGCCCAAGCUUGCUUGGGUACUCGAGUGGCGAACGGGUGAGUAACACGUGGGUGAUCUGCCCUGCACUUCGGGAUAAGCCUGGGAAACUGGGUCUAAUACCGGAUAGGACCACAUUUUGGAUGGUGUGGUGGAAAGUUUUUCGGUGUGGGAUGAGCUCGCGGCCUAUCAGCCUGUUGGUGGGGUAAUGGCCUACCAAGGCGUCGACGGGUAGCCGGCCUGAGAGGGUGUACGGCCACAUUGGGACUGAGAUACGGCCCAGACUCCUACGGGAGGCAGCAGUGGGGAAUAUUGCACAAUGGGCGCAAGCCUGAUGCAGCGACGCCGCGUGGGGGAUGACGGCCUUCGGGUUGUAAACUCCUUUCGCUAGGGACGAAGCGUUAUGUGACGGUACCUGGAGAAGAAGCACCGGCUAACUACGUG